RNAcentral lists this ribosomal RNA (301 nucleotides) under uncultured bacterium. RNAcentral describes it as "partial 16S ribosomal RNA". It matches the Rfam family "Bacterial small subunit ribosomal RNA", at positions 509 to 807 of the family's 1533-position model. The record is from RNAcentral.
CAGCAGCCGCGGUAAUACGUAGGUGGCAAGCGUUGUCCGGAGUUAUUGGGCGUAAAGGAUGCGUAGGCGGUUUCGUAAGUCUGAUGUGAAAUCUAUGGGCUCAACCCAUAGUCUGCAUCGGAAACUGCGAGGCUUGAGAGUGGGAGAGGUGAGUGGAAUUUCCGGUGUAGCGGUGAAAUGCGUAGAUAUCGGAAGGAACACCUGUGGCGAAAGCGGCUCACUGGACCAUUUCUGACGCUGAUGCACGAAAGCCAGGGGAGCAAACAGGAUUAGAUACCCCGGUAGUCCCUGUCUCUUAUAC